RNAcentral lists this transfer-messenger RNA (340 nucleotides) under Varunaivibrio sulfuroxidans. RNAcentral's name for it is "Alphaproteobacteria transfer-messenger RNA". It matches the Rfam family "Alphaproteobacteria transfer-messenger RNA". From Rfam's summary of the family: Bacterial tmRNA, also known as 10Sa RNA or SsrA, is named for its dual tRNA and mRNA-like properties. The record is from Rfam by way of RNAcentral. Lineage: Bacteria; Pseudomonadati; Pseudomonadota; Alphaproteobacteria; Rhodospirillales; Magnetovibrionaceae.
CCCCUUCCUUUUUGACCGCCGCCGCCCUAUAUUAGCCCUGCCAGUUCGCUGGCUAUGGUAAUAAACGCUGUUCGGAAUAAGCGUUACGGACCCGGGGGCGGUACCCGGCGCCUCCACCAAUUUCCCGUUUUCCGUCGGCCUCAAUGUCGCCGACGGAAACAUAUGGGGGCGAAAUAGGAUCGACGUGCGUAGUAAAGGUACAGUUUUUGCCCGGCAUGAUACCCACCGUAUCGGGAUCAAAACGUAGAAAUGCCAACGAUAAUCAGGCAUAUGCAGUUGCCGCUUAAUCGCUAAGCAUCUGCGGGGCCCGGGGGGCGCCUAGCAACAGAAGCCCCCCACU